GACGUAGGGUGCGAGCGUUGUCCGGAUUUAUUGGGCGUAAAGAGCUCGUAGGCGGCUCGUCGCGUCAGCUGUGAAAACCCGCGGCUUAACCGUGGGCUUGCAGCUGAUACGGGCGGGCUAGAGUGCGGUAGGGGAGACUGGAAUUCCUGGUGUAGCGGUGAAAUGCGCAGAUAUCAGGAGGAACACCGGUGGCGAAGGCGGUUCUCUGGGAAUGUACUGACGCUGAGGAGCGAAAGUGUGGGGAGCGAACAGG
Molecule: ribosomal RNA, 253 nt
Filed under: uncultured bacterium
Lineage: Bacteria
Description: partial 16S ribosomal RNA
Rfam family: Bacterial small subunit ribosomal RNA
Source: RNAcentral